CCUACCUUGUCGGGACAAUCGUGUAUUGCCCGUUGACCUUGCUGCGCUGCCGCCUCCUGGUGCAGGAGGAGCACAAAGGACGAGCGCUAGCAUUGCCGCUCCUGGGCCAGCUCGAGCCAUCCCCAACACCCCGGUGAAGUCCACAAGCCCCGGCCAGCAGCUGCCGCAAGUGGCCUCGCCCCGGCGGACCCGUCUAUUCCUCGCCCUGUGCACUGUAUAGAUGUUAAGCGACCGUGGAUAGACCCAGCCCAUUAGCUAGAUUCAGCCUGCGAUGUAUUUUAUUCUGCACCGAAUUUAUU
Molecule: long non-coding RNA, 299 nt
Filed under: Hordeum vulgare
Lineage: Eukaryota; Viridiplantae; Streptophyta; Magnoliopsida; Poales; Poaceae
Description: long non-coding RNA (HVUL_LNC001095)
Source: RNAcentral